This is a non-coding RNA of Arachis ipaensis, 190 nucleotides long. The record is from RefSeq and is a predicted model, not a curated record. Lineage: Eukaryota; Viridiplantae; Streptophyta; Magnoliopsida; Fabales; Fabaceae.
GGUGGUGGAGACUUGUAGUAAUAAGGUGGAUGAGGCACAGGAGAUGGGGGAGGAGGUGAUUUAUAGUAGUAAGGCGGAGGAGGAGAUGGUGAAGGUGGUGGUGGAGAUUUGUAAUAGUAAGGUGGGGGAGGAGAUGGUGAAGGUGGUGGUGGGGAUUUGUAAUAGUAAGGUGGCAGGGGAGAGGGGGAUG